This 2958-nucleotide long non-coding RNA is filed under the name Nicotiana benthamiana. Its description in RNAcentral is "long non-coding RNA (NBEN_LNC008567)". Lineage: Eukaryota; Viridiplantae; Streptophyta; Magnoliopsida; Solanales; Solanaceae. The record is from RNAcentral.
UGACAUACCGUUUAUGCAUACACUUUCUAUUUUAAACAACCAAAACUUGUUCUUUAUGUAUAUUUUAUCUUUUGGUAGAGUCCUGGAAAACCUUUUUCUAUAAUAAACUGGCUUAGUUCUUUAAGAAAAAAUUAAUGAUUUUUUAUGAUAUUUCUUGUACUUGCAAUCCACGUCAUAGAGUCAAGUCAACAUAACAAAAUUGGGUAUUAAUUGCCACUAAACAAGACAUCAUAAAGGAAAGUGUCAGUCCGAAACAUGGGGUGGCCCUACCACAGGUAAUGCAACAGUGUUAAAUCCAAAAGUCACACAACAGAAAAGAAAGGGAAAAAAGAAGAAGAUAAAUCUAGUGAAGUGUGUAUGCUAAGAGGCAAAAUCUAAAAUUUAAACUUAAUGGAUUCAAGGUUCUGCAUCCUCCGAAAGUAUUUGCUCAAAACUUAGUAUUAUGCUACCGUUUGGGGGUGGGGUCAACACAAGUUUACGGUUUAUAAUGAAAAUGAUGGAUUCAACUGAACCUGCUCUCAACACUAUACGUACGCAUGUCUAGAUAAGAAGAAAAGAACAACGUCAAUGUGAAAACCUAAGAUCCCAAUAUGAUAUACAGGGGCGAAUCCAUCCCUUCCGUAUCGGGUUCAACUGAAUCCAUUACUUUUAUGGCAGAGUCAAAAUUUAUGUGUAAAUUCAUUACAAUUGCAACAAAGAAUAAAUGUGAACUCAUAACUUUAAAAUAUAAUGGAUUGAACGCUAAAAAUUUUAAUAGUUGAAAUCAUAAAAUUUAAAUCUUGAAUCCGCCUACUAUAAUACGCCAAGAGUUUCAACUUCUCGAAUGUACAGAGGUGGACCUACCCCGGUAAACUCAAAAGACUCGUCGUGUAUCUUUAGACAGGAAAUGAAGCAUCUGCCAUGGCUGAUGAGAUGCUACUAAUUACUGGUUUGACAGUUUGAGGCAAAAACUCGUCGUGUACCCUCACACAAACAACUUAAAUGCUAACAAACAGUAUUGUUACAUUGCUUUUCCAAUGGAAAUUUUAGAUGUUGUAUUUAUACGUUUUUCGUCCUUUUUCUAAUUGCCCCCUCAUCUAAUUCCAACAAAUCCUUAUCCCAUGCUCCAGAGGCGGAUAUAUUAUUCCAUCACCGGGUUCAUAUAAAUCCAAUACUUACUCAAUGUAUAAAUAAUUUAUGUGUAUAAAGAUACAAUAAAUGAUAUGUCUAAAUAGUGAGUUAGACGACAAAUCUUUUCAUACUAUAAACUGUGUUUUCCACGAUGCCACAAACUUUAAGUCACCAAAUCGAAUCAUAUCAAGUAGUUUCUUUUCUAAAUCAUGGCUCGUGGGAUUUCUUUUGGAAUUCUUUUUAAAGAAUAACAAUGACAAAGUAAAAGCUAAGCUCCAUUAUAUUAUGGGGUCAAUAUUAAUUUUCCUAAUUUCUUCGUUAAUAAGUUUGAUGUUUGGUUUGAUUGAUGGGACUACGAGGAAAAAGAAAAAGAAGCAGACAGAGAAGAUAAAAGGAAAAAAAGCAACCAAUUCCUAUGUAUCUUUUUUAGUCAUACUAACGAAACUUUUAUUGCUGGAAUCGAUCAACUUGUUGCAAGUUGCUUGCCCUAUUGCAAUUUUAAAACUGAUCAUUCACUAUUUUUAGGAUGCCAUUCUUAAUAAGAGUAUUAUAGACUAUCUCAUUAUUAUGAUCGGGUUUGAGUCAGAGGCAGAUCUAAGAUUUCAAGAGGUUUUGUGUAUUAUUGUGAAGGGUGAAUCUAGAAUUUAUAUUGACGAAUUUGAUUUUUAUCUCUUAUCAUGAACCCAUUAUACUUUUAAAAUUGGAGGUUCAAAAUAAUAUUCUUUGAAACUUUUAGUGAUUUUUACAUAUGUAUAUAUACACACACUCUGUGUCGUGCACCCAAUUAUAAUUGUUGCACCAUAGGGGCUUUUGAGUAUGGCGCACACAUAUAUUUAAGUAAUUUUGAAAAAAUAUAAUAUUAUUAUAUAUGAUUUAGGAAGAGGAGCAUGAGUUCACGUGAACCCACAUCUCUUAACCUAGAUACACCUUUGGUUUGAGUUUGAGAAAGGUUUUUGGUAGACAUUGCUUCCAAUGAAAUGGAAUACGGGGAACUCUCCGUCUAAGUGGUUAAUCCGACGAGUCAAUUCUCAAUGCGAUGCAUCCGUGAAAUGGGACGGAGAUCUGCCCGAACUUAGUCCAGUCCUAUUAAAGAUGGGGGCGAAUCAAGCAACUCUUAUAGAUAGAUGGGAUAGGAAGAACUGAGACCACUCGACCGAUCUCAUCCACUUGAAAAUUGGUGUAAAAGUUGCUAAUUCGACUUUCUAAUAGACUUGUUAGUUCCGCAGCUCGGGGAGAAAGUUCCAUAAUUCAAUUCAAGAUAGAUAGAAGGGAGAAUGCCGCUGACAAAGAUGAGCUCUACCAGUCUCUCCUUCUUUAAUGGACCUUAUGUGGCGCGAACUCGAUUAGUCAGAAUUUCAAUACGGCACCGGACACCGGGUGAGGGAAAGAAAGCUAUUGCACUAUGCAAAUUUUUAUUGUAUGAAAAUUCAAUCAACAAACAAAAGAACUAGGACUAGGCCCCGUUUGGCCAUAAGUUUCGUCAAAAUAAAUUUGAGAUUUAUUUUCAAAACUCUGUUUGGCCAUAAAUUUUGCUCAUAUUUUGGCCAAAUCCUAAAUCGUAAAUUUCAAAUUCCAAAUCAGCUAUUGAACGGAAUUUGGGCCAAAAUCCCAAAACUUGGUAAUUAUAUACUCCCUCCGUUUCAUAUUGUUUGAGAUAGUUUGACGCGGCACGGAGUUUAAGCAAAGAGAAGAAACUUUUAAAACUUGUAGUCUUAAACGAUUAAGGGGUAAAAGAUUUGUGGGGCCAUACCAUUUGUGUGGCUAUAAAAGCUUUUCACUAAGGACAAAAAUGGUAAAAUGAAGAGUUCAAAGUUUAAUUAUUUCCAAAUUUAGAAAUGUGUCAUUUAU